RNAcentral lists this ribosomal RNA (497 nucleotides) under uncultured bacterium. Its description in RNAcentral is "partial 16S ribosomal RNA". It matches the Rfam family "Bacterial small subunit ribosomal RNA", at positions 28 to 507 of the family's 1533-position model. The record is from RNAcentral.
GAUGAACGCUGGCGGCGUGCCUAAUACAUGCAAGUCGAGCGAACAGACGAUGAGCUUGCUCCUCUGACGGUAGCGGCGGACGGGUGAGUAACACGUGGAUAACCUACCUAUAAGACUGGGAUAACUUCGGGAAACCGGAGCUAAUACCGGAUAAUAUAUUGAACCGCAGGGAUCAAUAGUGAAUGACGGUUUUGCUGUCACUUAUAGAUGGAUCCGCGCCGCAUUAGCUAGUUGGUAAGGUAACGGCCUACCAAGGCGACGAUGCGUAGCCGACCUGAGAGGGUGAUCAGCCACACUGGAACUGAGACACGGUCCAGACUCCUACGGGAGGCAGCAGUAGGGAAUCUUCGACAAUGGGCGAAAGCCUGACCCAGCCACGCCGCGUGGGUGAUGAAGGCCUUCGGGUCGUAAAGCCCUGUUGUUGGGAAAGAACAGAUGUGUAUGUAACUCUCGACGUCUUGACGGUACCUAAACAGUAAGCCCCGGCUAACUUCGUG